Molecule: ribosomal RNA, 493 nt
Filed under: uncultured bacterium
Lineage: Bacteria
Description: partial 16S ribosomal RNA
Rfam family: Bacterial small subunit ribosomal RNA
Source: RNAcentral
GACGAACGCUGGCGGCGUGCUUAACACAUGCAAGUCGAACGGAAAGGCCUGCUUUCCCUUGUGGAUUGCGGGUACUCGAGUGGCGAACGGGUGAGUAACACGUGAGUGAUCUGCCCCCAACUUGGGUAUAAGCCUGGGAAACUGGGUCUAAUUCCCGAUAGGACUGCAGGGUGGUGCCUGUGGUGGAAAACGAUUUUCUAGUGGUUGGGGAUGAGCUCGCGGCCUAUCAGCUUGUUGGUGGGGUAAUGGCCUACCAAGGCGGCGACGGGUAGCCGGCCUGAGGGGGGGGACGGGCAAGUGGGGAAGGGGACACGGCCCAGACCCCAGCGGGAGGGAGCAGGGGGGAAUAUUGCAAAAUGGGGGGAAGCCUGAGGGAGGGGCGCCGGGGGGGGGAUGCGGGCCUUGGGGUUGAAAACCCCUUUCGGCCGGGGGGAAGCCACCUGGUUGGAAGGGGGGGGACGGUAGGGGUAGAAGAAGCACCGGAUAACUACGU